Molecule: long non-coding RNA, 1076 nt
Organism: Drosophila subpulchrella
Lineage: Eukaryota; Metazoa; Arthropoda; Insecta; Diptera; Drosophilidae
Exons: 4
Source: RefSeq, a predicted model, not a curated record
AUUGUCAUUAUCCCCAGGCCAUUCAAACAAACAGUACUCUUAUUUUAUUCGGUGCAACAUUUUCUCAACGAGGCUGAUUCAUUUCGAUUGGAAUAAUGCCUCCAUAUAAUAUUGCUAGAAAGCGAAGCAGGUCGCCAGACACUGAUAGUGACAUCAUGGAUCAGCCCCCAAUAAAACGAGCUAAGCUCUUCGGAGAUCUGGAAGUAGAGAAGAGGUCUUUCGAUUCGGUCUUACAAACGAACAAGGCUACCUAUAAAUCGCCGGAUGAAACACCUAACCAAUCCGAGUAAAUAUUUAUUCUACAUGGUAUAAGAAAAAAAUAAUCAUCUUCCUUAGCCUAAUGAUUGAAAGAAGAACAUUGAGAUUAAUAGAUCAUUUAUUGGGCUGGAAGUUGAGUUAACUGAUAUAAAAUGGCACACUCUUUGGAUAAAAAAAUUGAUUAUUAUAUGAAAACUUAUCCUUAAAAUCCUUGAUGGGUGUAAAAAAAUUCGAUUUGGCGUUUGCAGUGUUUAUAGUUGGAAGUUAAUAUCCUUGAUGGACCUCAAGGCAAGCGGUAUAUGUAAGACCGGAGUAAUUUUGAUCCGUCUCAAACUGGCGAUCAAAAAUAUAAUAUUUUUUGGCAUCAAAAUUGAAUUAGUAUAUAUAUAUUGAUACAGUCUUUGGAUAAGAAAAUUAGAUUUGGCAUCUAAACUGGGCUGACGAAUAUCCAAUUAUUCGUUUUCAUAGUUGUAUAUCAUUAUCAUGAAUACCUUGGACCGGAGUGCGUUUUCGACAAGUGCGGAGUGUCCUUCUUGAAGACGGGAGUAUUAGCGACAUGGUCAACUGGCACAUGCCAUUCCCAGCGGCACGCUCCGGGGGCAUCAAUAUUCCCGACGCUGGACGCGCAUGGCCACCUCCGGAGGGGCAUGGCAAUCGCAGGACCACCGAGGCUCCCAAGACACAGAGAUGCACUGGGGGAAAAGACGCCACCGCAGCGGUUCCAGCCCAAUUCAAGAGGUAAAUGACAGUGCUACAAGUUCGGCCCUCAAGUCAUGUUGUUCUUCAGUUCAACUUAUAAAUUGGCAUUUAAAUGGAAA